Molecule: long non-coding RNA, 1221 nt
Filed under: Sus scrofa (pig)
Lineage: Eukaryota; Metazoa; Chordata; Mammalia; Artiodactyla; Suidae
Description: lncRNA (ENSSSCG00070007458.1)
Source: RNAcentral
AACGAAGGCGAGAACUCCAGGCCCGAAGCUCCGCUCACCCCGAGGGUCAGAGGUCCAGCCUCCUCGCUCGGAUGUCUGGAGUUGGUCCCCAGGGACGUCCCCACCUCCUCCCAGGCCGGGUCCACUUUUGCGCCAGCCACAAGGGCUCGGCCUGCAGGACUCCAGCUCCCCCUGCCUGGAAGGAGGGAAGAGGGAGGCGAGAAUUUGAACUGAUUAGGGAGGAAACCCUUCCGUAAAAAGCUACCCGCUCCCGCGGCGCCCCAGUGGCAGGCACUGGGGAAGCUCGCGACCGGAGCAAAUCGCGGUGUCAAUCCGGGCGGCCGAGACGCCCCAGCCUGAGAUCUCGAGGGAAUCAGGGACAGCUGUACUAGGUUCAGGUUAGGCCACAGCCCUGGGAGUCUGAAGGAGGGUCGUGAGAACUCGGGCGACAGGGCCAGGUUGGGGGACGGACGGCAGUGCCGGUUCGUCAGGCCUGCAACGAGUGGCAAGAAGUCUCCUCUCCGGCAUCCCCGCCCCGCCGCUUCCGCUUCAGCGGGACUGGGCAUUUGGAAUGCUCCUCUUCGGGAUCCGGCAACAGGAGCUGCAGUGCACGUCUUAUCGAAGAAGGGAGCUUCGGUUCUUUUCCUCCCUCCAUUCCUUCCACUCUCUCCUCUCGACAGAUGUUGAAAACUCCUUGGCCUAGCCUAAAAUACCAGCGGACAGUUCCACCUCCAGCUAAUGAAGAAAACUCCUCUGGAAUACCUUGGAAUUUUCAGCCAGCUUCUGCUUCAUUUCUUCCAGUAGAAGAGGAAUCACUACCUCACAAGACAUCCAUUGACUUGGGGGCAGCUUUAUUUGUUAAGAGUGUCUUGUUUAUAGAACUCUUUUUUUCCUUAGUAAAGUAUAGAGGAUUUCAAAGUCAUUUGCUUAGAUUUCAUCAAAGAUGAUCAUAUUAUCUUGUGUUGGGCUUCUUUAUCUUGAAAUACAAAGAAUUCGCCAUUGUUUGGCUUCUAGGUUAAGACUACUGUUUGUGGAGAACACAAGCAAAAGCUAAAGCUUUGAGAAAGUAUCAGGAUUUGGUAUUCAGCAUACAUGUUGCAGGGCUACCCAUGGCCUUGCUCUGAGACCUACUUGGAGAGCCCUAGUUAUUUAUCACUUCCCCCAGGGCUGGGUUCAGACUAUACUGAUGGUAAAAGUUUUGUAGAAUGGUUGUUAGAAUCUCAUGUUCUCUUUUUAGCCAGA